CCUACGGGAGGCAGCAGUGGGGAAUAUUGCACAAUGGGGGGAACCCUGAUGCAGCGACGCCGCGUGAGUGAAGAAGGAUUUCGGUAUGUAAAGCUCUAUCAGCAGGGAAGAAGAGGACGGUACCUGACUAAGAAGCCCCGGCGAACUACGGGCCAGCAGCCGCGGUAAUACGUAGGGGGCAAGCGUUAUCCGGAUUUACUGGGUGUAAAGGGAGCGGAGACGGCAGGGCAAGGCUGGAGGGAAAGCCCGGGGCUCAACCCCGGGACUGCUUGGGAAACUGCCAGGCUGGAGUGCUGGAGAGUUAAUCGGAAUUCCUCGUGUAGCGGUGAAAUGCGUAGAUAUUAGGAGGAACCCCAGUGGCGAAGGCGGCUUACUGGACAGUAACUGCCGUUGAGGCUCGAAAGCGUGGGGAGCAAACAGGAUUAGAUACCCCUGUAGUC
This 440-nucleotide ribosomal RNA is filed under the name uncultured bacterium. RNAcentral describes it as "partial 16S ribosomal RNA". It matches the Rfam family "Bacterial small subunit ribosomal RNA", at positions 338 to 795 of the family's 1533-position model. The record is from RNAcentral.